GGCCCCGUAGCUCAGAGGCAGAGCACCCGCCUUUUAAGCGGAGUGUCGAAGGUUCGAAUCCUUCCGGGGUCA
RNAcentral lists this transfer RNA (72 nucleotides) under Anaerolineae bacterium. RNAcentral describes it as "tRNA-Lys". It matches the Rfam family "tRNA". Rfam says of the family: Transfer RNA (tRNA) molecules are approximately 80 nucleotides in length. The record is from RNAcentral. Lineage: Bacteria; Bacillati; Chloroflexota; Anaerolineae.